CCUACGGGUGGCAGCAGUGGGGAAUAUUGGACAAUGGGCGAAAGCCUGAUCCAGCCAUGCCGCGUGUGUGAAGAAGGCCUUUGGGUUGUAAAGCACUUUCAGUGGGGAAGAAAGCCUUGGGGCUAAUACCCUCGAGGAAGGACAUCACCCACAGAAGAAGCACCGGCUAACUCCGUGCCAGCAGCCGCGGUAAUACGGAGGGUGCGAGCGUUAAUCGGAAUUACUGGGCGUAAAGCGCGCGUAGGCGGUCUGAUAAGCCGGUUGUGAAAGCCCCGGGCUCAACCUGGGAACGGCAUCCGGAACUGUCAGGCUAGAGUGCAGGAGAGGAAGGUAGAAUUCCCGGUGUAGCGGUGAAAUGCGUAGAGAUCGGGAGGAAUACCAGUGGCGAAGGCGGCCUUCUGGACUGACACUGACGCUGAGGUGCGAAAGCGUGGGUAGCAAACAGGAUUAGAUACCCGAGUAGC
Molecule: ribosomal RNA, 464 nt
Filed under: Vreelandella stevensii
Lineage: Bacteria; Pseudomonadati; Pseudomonadota; Gammaproteobacteria; Oceanospirillales; Halomonadaceae
Description: partial 16S ribosomal RNA
Rfam family: Bacterial small subunit ribosomal RNA
Source: RNAcentral